CAGGACGAACGCUGGCGGCGUGCUUCAUACAUGCAAGUCGAACGAGAAGUCACCUUCGGGUGAUGGAAAGUGGCGGACGGGUGAGUAAUGUGUAGAGAAUCUGCCCUUUAGUGGGGGACAACAGUUGGAAACGACUGCUAAUACCCCAUAUGCGCAUAGCUGAGAUGCUAUUCGUGAAAACUCCGGUGCUAAAGGAUGAGUCUGCAUCUGAUUAGCUAGUUGGCGGUGUAAUGGACCACCAAGGCGACGAUCAGUAGCUGGUUUGAGAGGAUGAUCAGCCACAAUGGGACUGAGACACGGCCCAUACUCCUACGGGAGGCAGCAGUAGGGAAUUUUGCGCAAUGGGGGAAACCCUGAACCGCAGCAACGCCGCGUGAUUGAAUAAGCCCUUCGGGGUGUAAAGAUCUGUCAGUAGGGACGAAACUUGACGGUACCUACAGAGGAAGCAUCGGCUAACUCCGUGCCAGCCGCGGC
This 474-nucleotide ribosomal RNA is filed under the name uncultured bacterium. Its description in RNAcentral is "bacterial SSU rRNA". It matches the Rfam family "Bacterial small subunit ribosomal RNA", at positions 25 to 518 of the family's 1533-position model. The record is from RNAcentral.